This 468-nucleotide ribosomal RNA is filed under the name uncultured bacterium. Its description in RNAcentral is "partial 16S ribosomal RNA". It matches the Rfam family "Bacterial small subunit ribosomal RNA", at positions 28 to 507 of the family's 1533-position model. The record is from RNAcentral.
GACGAACGCUGGCGGCGUGCUUAACACAUGCAAGUCGAACGGAAAGGCCCUGCUUUUGUGGGGUGCUCGAGUGGCGAACGGGUGAGUAACACGUGAGUAACCUGCCCUUGACUUUGGGAUAACUUCAGGAAACUGGGGCUAAUACCGUAUAGGAGCUCCUGCUGCAUGGUGGGGGUUGGAAAGUUUCGGCGGUUGGGGAUGGACUCGCGGCUUAUCAGCUUGUUGGUGGGGUAGUGGCUUACCAAGGCUUUGACGGGUAGCCGGCCUGAGAGGGUGACCGGCCACAUUGGGACUGAGAUACGGCCCAGACUCCUACGGGAGGCAGCAGUGGGGAAUAUUGCACAAUGGGCGGAAGCCUGAUGCAGCAACGCCGCGUGCGGGAUGACGGCCUUCGGGUUGUAAACCGCUUUCGCCUGUGACGAAGCGUGAGUGACGGUAAUGAGUAAAGAAGCACCGGCUAACUACGUG